CUAACCUUAUUUACAAAGUCUUCAUGUAAAUAGUAAACAAUUGAAUUAUCAGGCUUAAAGUCUUCAUGUGCACAGUAAUAUUUGCAAUUAUCAGCCUUCAAAUUCUGCAUUUGGGCCAUCCACCAUAUUUAUAACAUUAAAAAUUAAAAACAAUAUAGACAAUCAUUGAAGAGGACAUUAGUCUAAUUCAAAUGAUCAGUUCUUUUAUUUCAGAGCAGUAUUCUAGUGUUGUAAUCGUCUGCUCUCUCUCUCCGCCGCGACCGCCGCGACCGCCGCCAGCCAUGCCUCCUGUCAUCUAACUAUCUAUCCUCUCCAAACCACCACCGAUUUAAUCCCGAGAUUCUGCAGUAUUUUCCAAGUAGGUGGAAACAAGCACAAGGGAAAACUUUAUCUGCAUAUUCAUAUAUUUUAUUUCCUUCAGUUAUCCUUGCAUUUUAUAACGGUACUCUGUUGUGUACUUUGAUUGUGAAUUUCGAUGUUAUAUAUAGUUUCAUAACAGUACUCUGUUGUGUACUUUCUGUUUUGUUGGGGUCUUCGUUCAAAUUCAAGCUGUAGUAACGUUGUAUGCCAAAGGUGCUUAUAGAGAUGAUUAAAGAAUCUGGACCUGAAAAGUGAUGGCAUAGGUGUUCUGCUGGAUUGAUGACCGUAAUCAAGAAAUUUGGAUUGUUGGAGGAAGAAGUUGGUUCCUUGCCAAUUUGAGGUAUAUAAUUAUACGCCCUCAUUUUUAUUCAAAGCCUAAUUAGUUAUCGACCUUUUUUUAUUUAUCUUUGUGAAGCUUUCAUGCUUGAUUUUAAAUAUAUAAUUCAAUUUUCUUUGUUUGAGCUUAGAAUGGAAAUGGGCUUCUUUCUAUUUUGUGCACGUAUCUGUAUGUGUCCAUUUAUGUAAAGCUUGAGAUAACUAAGGAUAUAUUUCUAUCAAACCCCAUUCCAAUUGAA
Pyrus x bretschneideri (Chinese white pear) is the source of this 935-nucleotide long non-coding RNA. RefSeq lists it as uncharacterized. Lineage: Eukaryota; Viridiplantae; Streptophyta; Magnoliopsida; Rosales; Rosaceae. The record is from RefSeq and is a predicted model, not a curated record. The transcript has 4 exons.